Molecule: non-coding RNA, 45 nt
Filed under: Schistosoma margrebowiei
Lineage: Eukaryota; Metazoa; Platyhelminthes; Trematoda; Strigeidida; Schistosomatidae
Source: RNAcentral
AUCCAACUGACGAGUCCAAAAUGAGACGAAACGCGUGUCUUGAAU